UCCGAGUUGACCCCGGCAGUAUCCCAUGAGUUCCCACCAUUACGUGCUGGCAACAUAGGACGAGGGUUGCGCUCGUUGCGGGACUUAACCCAACAUCUCACGACACGAGCUGACGACAACCAUGCACCACCUGUAUACCGACCUUGCGGGGCCUGCAUCUCUGCAGCUUUCCGGUAUAUGUCAAGCCUUGGUAAGGUUCUUCGCGUUGCAUCGAAUUAAUCCGCAUGCUCCGCCGCUUGUGCGGGCCCCCGUCAAUUCCUUUGAGUUUUAGCCUUGCGGCCGUACUCCCCAGGCGGGGCGCUUAAUGCGUUAGCUGCGACACGGAAACCGUGGAAUGGUCCCCACAUCUAGCGCCCAACGUUUACGGCGUGGACUAC
This 377-nucleotide unclassified non-coding RNA is filed under the name uncultured Microbacteriaceae bacterium. RNAcentral describes it as "contains 16S-23S intergenic spacer region". Lineage: Bacteria; Bacillati; Actinomycetota; Actinomycetes; Micrococcales; Microbacteriaceae. The record is from RNAcentral.